GGGGACGUUACGGAUUCGACAGGGGUCCCCGAGCUUAUGAAGCGUGUCGGAGGGUUGUCUUCGUCAUCAACACAACAGUUAUAAUAACUGGCAAACAACAAAACUUAGCAGUAGCUGCGUAAUAGCACUCUGCAUCACCUAACAGCAUCGCCUAUGUGCUGUUAACGUGAUUCAACUUUAAGUAGGAUACGCUCGUCACUGCCGUUUGAAGUCUGACGAGAAGAGAUUAAUCAAACUAGCGUUGUAAUAGGGUGUCAGCCCCCUGAUACAACGCGAAACAAUAAAGACUUGACUACACACGUAGAAACAUUUGUAUCAGGAUCUCUGGACGCGGGUUCAACUCCCGCCGUCUCCA
RNAcentral lists this transfer-messenger RNA (355 nucleotides) under Mammaliicoccus fleurettii. RNAcentral describes it as "Staphylococcus fleurettii transfer-messenger RNA, SsrA". It matches the Rfam family "transfer-messenger RNA". From Rfam's summary of the family: Bacterial tmRNA, also known as 10Sa RNA or SsrA, is named for its dual tRNA and mRNA-like properties. Its role is to liberate the mRNA from a stalled ribosome. The record is from RNAcentral. Lineage: Bacteria; Bacillati; Bacillota; Bacilli; Caryophanales; Staphylococcaceae.